Molecule: ribosomal RNA, 499 nt
Filed under: uncultured bacterium
Lineage: Bacteria
Description: bacterial SSU rRNA
Rfam family: Bacterial small subunit ribosomal RNA
Source: RNAcentral
GACGAACGCUGGCGGCGUGCCUAAUACAUGCAAGUCGAACGCACUCUCGUUUAGAUUGAAGGAGCUUGCUCCUGAUUGAUAAACAUUUGAGCGAGUGGCGGACGGGUGAGUAACACGUGGGUAACCUGCCCUAAAGUGGGGGAUAACAUUUGGAAACAGAUGCUAAUACCGCAUAAAACCUAACACCGCAUGGUGUAGGGUUGAAAGAUGGUUUCGGCUAUCACUUUAGGAUGGACCCGCGGUGCAUUAGUUAGUUGGUGAGGUAAAGGCUCACCAAGACCGUGAUGCAUAGCCGACCUGAGAGGGUAAUCGGCCACACUGGGACUGAGACACGGCCCAGACUCCUACGGGAGGCAGCAGUAGGGAAUCUUCCACAAUGGACGAAAGUCUGAUGGAGCAACGCCGCGUGAGUGAAGAAGGUUUUCGGAUCGUAAAACUCUGUUGUUGGAGAAGAAUGUAUCUGAUAGUAACUGAUCAGGUAGUGACGGUAUCCAACCAG